CGUACCACAAGUGCGUUUGCCUUUAAUUAUUUCGUAAACGAGGUAAAUGCAUUCUUCUGGUAUCGUC
This 67-nucleotide microRNA precursor is filed under the name Daphnia pulex (common water flea). RNAcentral describes it as "Dpu-Mir-277_pre stem-loop". The record is from RNAcentral. Lineage: Eukaryota; Metazoa; Arthropoda; Branchiopoda; Diplostraca; Daphniidae.